RNAcentral lists this long non-coding RNA (1015 nucleotides) under Panax ginseng (ginseng). RNAcentral describes it as "long non-coding RNA (PGIN_LNC017343)". The record is from RNAcentral. Lineage: Eukaryota; Viridiplantae; Streptophyta; Magnoliopsida; Apiales; Araliaceae.
AGAUUGAAAUGGACAAGCGAGAUGGUGUGUUUGGUCCACAGCCAAUGGCAGUGCCCCCUGCUCAGCAGAUGUCACGGGUCGAUCAGCCAUAUCAUCCCACUGUUGGAUAUCCUCCUCCACAAGCUUAUGGGCAGCAAUCUCAAGGCUACCCACCUCCUCAAGCUCAACCUCAAGGAUACCCACCUCCUCAAGCUCAACCUCAAGGCUACCCACCUGCUGGUUAUCCACCUCUUCAAGCUCAACCUCAAGGCUACCCACCUGCUGGUUAUCCUCCACCGGGUUAUCCAUCUUCUGGCCAUUAAAUGAGAUAUACACAAGUGUCUAGUGCAUGUAAAUUUGGAACUAUAUUUUUAAUGAGAUUACUUGCUUAUUGACUGAUACAUUUUUCCAAACUGGAUUUCUUUGUGCAAAAAGAGAUAAACAAAGCGAACUUCAGUGACCAAAUAUUCAUGUGUAUAUUAGAGUUGAGUAUUGCAUUCAAAUAUUCAUGUGUAUAUUAGAGUUGAGUAUUGCAUUUAAAAUUUACGUGGCUUAUUUGUGGAGCUAUUUCUCACGAAUCUUCAUUUUACGUUGCAACUGUGUUUGUUCUGUAAUAUCCUUACUAAGAAAUCGAAACUUUGGUUUAUAAGGCAGUGAGAUUUCUGGUACUUGAGAUCUCUUCAUUUGUAAUUGUGGAUUUGCUUCAAAAAUACUUUUUCAACCUUUGCUUAUUCGAGAACAAUUGAUUUGUGCGUCAACCUUGCUUCAAAAACGCCCCAUCCCAGUCAGAUAUUAUAUGAGAGAGGAGUGAAUCUUUGAUUAAAUAAUACUACUAGUAUAUCACAAAAGUGUGUUAUGAUUACAUACUAAAUGUUAAUUUCAUAUACUUAAUCUUUAUGAAAUAGAUGUGGUCUGGUCAGUUGGGUAACAAACAACCUAAAAUUGUCCCAUUUAUUUGAUAUAAUAUUUGUUACAUAAAAUUUUCAUAAUGUAUAUUAAAAACUUUAAUAUCAAUGCACUCCGACAGACAGUUGAG